Molecule: long non-coding RNA, 245 nt
Filed under: Homo sapiens (human)
Lineage: Eukaryota; Metazoa; Chordata; Mammalia; Primates; Hominidae
Description: HSALNT0232156
Source: RNAcentral
AGCUUUCUCUGGAAAUGAAAUCAAGCAGCUUUCCUUGUAUUGAAAGGUAAACCAGUGGACUGACUGUUUUGUUGAGUGGCCAUUGGCUAAUUCAGAAGAGAAAGCGACUGAAGACAGAGUGUUCCAAGAACCAAGAGAAUGAAUGUGGCUGAUGUGUGGAGAGAAGAGAUGGACCAAGAUGAGACUGGAAAGGCUACUGCUGGGGCUGUUGAAGAAACUGGGGAUUCAGAAACCGAAAAUAGAUC